CGGUUAGCUCAGUGGAAGAGCGCUUGCCUUACAAGCAAGAUGUCGACAGUUCAAAUCUGUCACC
RNAcentral lists this transfer RNA (64 nucleotides) under marine eukaryotic metagenome. It matches the Rfam family "tRNA", at positions 5 to 66 of the family's 71-position model. From Rfam's summary of the family: Transfer RNA (tRNA) molecules are approximately 80 nucleotides in length. Their secondary structure includes four short double-helical elements and three loops (D, anti-codon, and T loops). The record is from RNAcentral.